Non-coding RNA from Taeniopygia guttata (zebra finch), 1134 nucleotides. Lineage: Eukaryota; Metazoa; Chordata; Aves; Passeriformes; Estrildidae. The record is from RefSeq and is a predicted model, not a curated record.
CUCCCAGUCCUUUCUUCUUGUGGAAAGCUCUCUCUCCCUGUCCUGUCCCCUCGUUUGUCACGUCCUGUGUCACGGGUGUCUGCACGUAUUUGUCCCGGAGCUGCUCUGCCCUGCUGCAUAGCCUGUAAUAGCACAAGUCCUGGGGACUUGAAAUUGGUAAUGCAGGGUGCAGCUGGGCUCCAAAUUGUAUUAGGAGAUUACCAGAACAUGUUUGGUGGUGUUGAGUUGUCCUGCAGCUGUUUGACAUUAGUCCUAACUUCCUUUCAGAUGCAGACAGUUCAAAUCAGUGCCAGAGGGCCACAGUCCUGGGUGGAGAACUUCCCAUGAGCUGGUCAGUCAUUGUUUGCAUUUACAGGGGAAGCAGCCUAAGUGGUGACUCUGUUACAGCGGUGUUCUUUGCCUUUAUUUUUAGGAGGUCCAGGCAGAUAGCAGCAGUCAAGGCCCAGUGUGCCAGGGAAUCCACUGGGAGUUUGCAUAUCCCCUGUCAGCAGCUGGCUGAUGGACUGGGUUUGCUGUGCUUGUGAGUCCUCUGGAAGUAUUACAGGACCCUGUGAUGAAGCCUACUGAUUUUGCAUUUCAAGGUCCCAUCCUGGUAACCCAGAGCAGUGGCCAAGGAGUUGUGGUGAGUCAGGGAGGUAGGGAGGAGGAGUGAGAGUCCACUCAAGUUUCAGCAAUGCCAUGUCACCCUUUCUCCACUUAAUCUAGGUGUACCCUGAGAUGAUGCUGUCGGCCUCCAAGCACGCCUGCGGUGUGUGGCCCGACCAUUCUGAGGAGAAUGGUGAGUAGCAGAAUUGUCAGGUUUUGGCCAUUGUGCUGUUACGGUUGUGCACUGAUGUUUGGUUUUCUUUGUCUUGGCAGACCAAGAGAGAACAGUCUGGUGACAACUGGAGUUUCCCAGACAGGCAGGAGGCCUCGUUCUGCACCCGAUGGAGAUUUGGAUCCCCAGAUAUAUGCCAGAUAAGUCAAGGGCUACAACCCACAGAGGGCAUGGAAGCGAGGUGCCAGGUUGGGAGUCCCCAGGAGGGGUUUUUGAGUCAGUUUUGGAUACGGGGAUGUCUAAGAAGCGUCUCCUUAGGCCAGCUGAAGGGAAAGUGUCUGUUUUGAUCUCAGUGCUGAGGUGCGCAGGGCAGAGCA